RNAcentral lists this ribosomal RNA (442 nucleotides) under uncultured bacterium. Its description in RNAcentral is "partial 16S ribosomal RNA". It matches the Rfam family "Bacterial small subunit ribosomal RNA", at positions 338 to 795 of the family's 1533-position model. The record is from RNAcentral.
CCUACGGGAGACAGCAGUAGGGAAUCUUGCACAAUGGGCGAAAGCCUGAUGCAGCGACGCCGCGUGAGGGAUGAAGGCCUUCGGGAUGUAAAGCUCUUUCAGCAGCGAGGAAAAUGAUGGUAAUUUAUGACUAAGGAGCGGCUAAAAACGUGCGAGCGGCGGCGGUCAUACGUAGGAGGCGAGCAUUAUCCGGAGUGACUGGGUGUGAAAAGGGGCGCGGGGGGUAUAAUAAGUAGCUGGUGGAAUCGGGGGGCCCAAACACCCGGACUAUUUGUUAAACUGUUGAGCUGGAGAGCGUGAGAGGUAGGUGGAAUUUCUAGUGUAGCGGUGAAAUGCGUAGAUAUUAGGAGGAACACCAGUGGCGAAGGCAGGUUGCUGGAACGGGACUGACGCUGAGGCACGAAAGCGUAGGGAGCAAACAGGAUUAGAUACCCCAGUAGUC